GACGGAGGGGGCAAGCGUUGUCCGGACUUACUGGGCGUAAAGGGCGCGUAGGUGGCUAUUCACGUCUCGGGUGAAAUCGCUCGGCUCAACCGGGCGCGGUCUCGGGAUACGGGAAAGCUUGAGGCAUCCAGAGGUCGGUGGAAUUCCCGGUGUAGUGGUGAAAUGCGUAGAGCUCGGGAGGAACACCAGUGGUGCAGACGGCCGACUGGGGAUGACCUGACACUGAGGCGCGACAGCGUGGGGAGCGAACCGA
Molecule: ribosomal RNA, 253 nt
Filed under: uncultured prokaryote
Description: partial 16S ribosomal RNA
Rfam family: Bacterial small subunit ribosomal RNA
Source: RNAcentral